GUCCAAAUGUUGCUCACUAACUUGAGCGAAACCACAGCCAAGGGAACGGGCUUGGAAUGAUCAGCGGGGAAAGAAAACCCUGUUGAGCUUGACUCUCACCUAAGAGGUGUAGAACAAGUGGGAGCUUCGGCGUCGGUGUGCAAUGCCACUACUCUUGGAGUGAGUUUACUCAUUGCAUUGU
This 181-nucleotide ribosomal RNA is filed under the name Bigelowiella longifila. Its description in RNAcentral is "partial Eukaryotic large subunit ribosomal RNA". It matches the Rfam family "Eukaryotic large subunit ribosomal RNA", at positions 2333 to 2536 of the family's 3401-position model. The record is from RNAcentral. Lineage: Eukaryota; Cercozoa; Chlorarachniophyceae.